UACGUAGGGAGCGAGCGUUGUCCGGAAUCAUUGGGCGUAAAGCGCGCGGAGGCGGCCCGAUAAGUCCGCUGUAAAAGUCAACGGCUCAACUGUUGAAAGCCGGUGGAUACUGUCGGGCUAGAGUACGGAAGAGGCAAGUGGAAUUCCUGGUGUAGCGGUGGAAUGCGCAGAUAUCAGGAGGAACACCGGUGGCGAAGGCGGAUCUCUGGGCCUUACCUGACGCUGAGGAGCGAAAGCAUGGGGAGCAAACAGG
RNAcentral lists this ribosomal RNA (253 nucleotides) under uncultured bacterium. RNAcentral's name for it is "partial 16S ribosomal RNA". It matches the Rfam family "Bacterial small subunit ribosomal RNA", at positions 524 to 776 of the family's 1533-position model. The record is from RNAcentral.